Molecule: long non-coding RNA, 287 nt
Organism: Betta splendens (Siamese fighting fish)
Lineage: Eukaryota; Metazoa; Chordata; Actinopteri; Anabantiformes; Osphronemidae
Exons: 2
Source: RefSeq, a predicted model, not a curated record
CAGGCACGAACCUUAACGAAAGGUUGAGACUUGUAGUCGACACAAUAAAAUGGAUGCUUUAAAUCAACAUAUACAAAUACAUUUUAAGGGCACUUGACUUAAAAGAUCACAGUGACACUGUACAAACUACAGCAAAAACAAAAGACUUUCCCAGCAGUGCCAGAAUCAGCUGCAAAUACUUGGAGCCAGAUGACCCUGCGACGUGUUGACCCCUGCAGUGAUUUGACCAUCCAGAACAGCAGUGACACUCUGCAGAAACGCAAUAAAACAAGUCAUCAUUACUGUCA